UCCUACGGGAGGCAGCAGUGGGGAAUUUUGGACAAUGGGGGCAACCCUGAUCCAGCCAUGCCGCGUGCGGGAAGAAGGCCUUCGGGUUGUAAACCGCUUUUAGCCGGAAAGAAAAGGCGUCUCCUAAUACGGGGCGUUCUUGACGGUACCGGCGGAAUAAGCACCGGCUAACUACGUGCCAGCAGCCGCGGUAAUACGUAGGGUGCGAGCGUUAAUCGGAAUUACUGGGCGUAAAGCGUACGCAGGCGGCUAUGCAAGACAGAUGUGAAAUCCCCGGGCUUAACCUGGGAACUGCAUUUGUGACUGCAUAGCUAGAGUUUGUCAGAGGGGGGUGGAAUUCCACGUGUAGCAGUGAAAUGCGUAGAGAUGUGGAGGAACACCGAUGGCGAAGGCAGCCCCCUGGGACCUGACUGACGCUCAUGUACGAAAGCGUGGGGAGCAAACAGGAUUAGAUACCCUGGUAGUCCACGCCCUAAACGAUGUCGACUAGUUGUCGGAGGCUUGCGCCUUCGGUAACGCAGCUAACGCGUGAAGUCGACCGCCUGGGGAGUACGGUCGCAAGAUUAAAACUCAAAGGAAUUGACGGA
RNAcentral lists this ribosomal RNA (587 nucleotides) under uncultured Derxia sp. RNAcentral's name for it is "bacterial SSU rRNA". It matches the Rfam family "Bacterial small subunit ribosomal RNA", at positions 337 to 917 of the family's 1533-position model. The record is from RNAcentral. Lineage: Bacteria; Pseudomonadati; Pseudomonadota; Betaproteobacteria; Burkholderiales; Alcaligenaceae.